CCUACGGGUGGCAGCAGUGGGGAAUAUUGGGCAAUGGAGGCAACUCUGACCCAGCAACGCCGCGUGAAUGAUGAAGGUUUUCGGAUUGUAAAGUUCUGUGGAGGGGGAUGAGCACAAGGACGGUACUCCAAUAGCAAGCACGGGCUAACAACGUGCCAGCGGCCGCGGUAUUACGUAGGUGGCAAGCGUUUUCCGGAUUGAGUGGGCGUAAGGGGUGUGUAGCGGGUUUAACAAGUCGGCUGUGUAAUCCGGGGGCUCAACCCCGGAGCUACCUCUAAAACUAUUAGACUAGGGUGCGGGAGGGGUAAGUGGAAUUCCUAGUGUAGCGGUGGAAUGCGUAGAUAUUAGGAGGAACAUCAGGGGCGAAGGCGACUUACUGGACGGUAACUGACGCUGAGGCGCGAAAGCGUGGGGAGCAAACAGGAUUAGAUACCCGGGUAGUC
Molecule: ribosomal RNA, 443 nt
Filed under: uncultured bacterium
Lineage: Bacteria
Description: partial 16S ribosomal RNA
Rfam family: Bacterial small subunit ribosomal RNA
Source: RNAcentral